CCAGGGUAUGCUCACAGAGGCCUGGGUGC
RNAcentral lists this non-coding RNA (29 nucleotides) under Homo sapiens (human). The record is from RNAcentral. Lineage: Eukaryota; Metazoa; Chordata; Mammalia; Primates; Hominidae.